CAGCAGAAGUUCCCACUUUGAGGCCUGAAGAAUUCAAUGACGCAGUGUUACAGGACUAGUAAGAGCUUUAGGUGUAGAAAAGGACCAAUGCUAAUAAUUUGAGGCUUUGAAAGAGGAACCUCCACCAACCUAAGAACUUGAAGGGAGAAAACUUAAGGAAAAAUUAUCUUAACAUCUCUUCUUUCAUCCUCUGAUCUCCAGCUGAUGACUCCCAAACGGCUGAAACAAAGUAGAGUUUCGAGAGCUGGUUUACAUGCAGUGUGAACACGCUGAGCCAGCACCUCGACAAGAUCACAGCAGAGCAGAGGGGUCAUGAAUAUAAAGAAGAGAUUGCAACUUCUUCUCCAAAACAUUGUACUUGGCCGUUGUCAGUUUAUGAAGUACCUGAAGUGGAAAAAAAGCGUUUCAUAGCUUGAACAUUUCCUUGGAAAAGCAAAGCAGAAAACAGACACAACAUCAAUAUGUACUGUCAAAGCUCUCAUCUCAAGAAGCAAAAUACAAUAAAAGAUUUCCCCAAA
Equus caballus (horse) is the source of this 518-nucleotide non-coding RNA. The record is from RefSeq and is a predicted model, not a curated record. NCBI's taxonomy places the organism in Eukaryota, Metazoa, Chordata, Mammalia, Perissodactyla, Equidae.